This 28-nucleotide non-coding RNA is filed under the name Cricetulus griseus (Chinese hamster). Lineage: Eukaryota; Metazoa; Chordata; Mammalia; Rodentia; Cricetidae. The record is from RNAcentral.
GUAAAUAAUGCCUAACCUAAGAAAGACU